This 512-nucleotide ribosomal RNA is filed under the name uncultured bacterium. Its description in RNAcentral is "bacterial SSU rRNA". It matches the Rfam family "Bacterial small subunit ribosomal RNA", at positions 17 to 518 of the family's 1533-position model. The record is from RNAcentral.
UUAUGGCUCAGGAUGAACGCUAGCUACAGGCUUAACACAUGCAAGUCGAGGGGCAGCAGAUCGAAAGCUUGCUUUGAUGCUGGCGACCGGCGCACGGGUGAGCAACGCGUAUCCAACCUUCCCUGUAGUAGAGAAUAGCCCGGCGAAAGUCGGAUUAAUGCUCUAUGUUGUAUUUCGAAGACAUCUGAAGAAUACCAAAGGUUUUACCGCUAUAGGAUGGGGAUGCGUCUGAUUAGGUUGUUGGCGGGUAACGGCCCACCAAGCCCACGAUCAGUAGGGGUUCUGAGAGGAAGGUCCCCCACAUUGGAACUGAGACACGGUCCAAACUCCUACGGGAGGCAGCAGUGAGGAAUAUUGGUCAAUGGACGGAAGUCUGAACCAGCCAAAGUAGCGUGCAGGAUGACGGCCCUAUGGGUUGUAAACUGCUUUUAUAUAGGGAUAAAGUCGGGGACGUGUCCCCGUUUGUAGGUACUAUAUGAAUAAGGACCGGCUAAUUCCGUGCCAGCCGCCGC